GCGCGAAAACUUUACAAUGCUGGCAACAGCGAUAAGGGAACCUCGAGUGCCAGGUUACAAAUCUGGCUGUCGAGAUGCCUAAAAAGCAUUUCAUAGCAAGGGCCGGGCAAGACCGGUGCCAGCCGCCGCGGUAACACCGGCGGCUCGAGUGGUAACCGUUAUUAUUGGGUCUAAAGGGUCUGUAGCCGGCCGGAUAAGUCUCUUGAGAAAUCUGGCAGCUUAACUGUCAGGCUUUCAGGAGAUACUGUCUGGCUCGAGGCCGGGAGAGGUGAGAGGUACUUCAGGGGUAGGGGUGAAAUCUUGUAAUCCUUGAAGGACAACAAGUGGAGAAGGCGUCUCACCAGAACGGACCUGACGGCAAGGGACGAAAGCUAGGGGCACGAACC
Molecule: ribosomal RNA, 386 nt
Filed under: uncultured prokaryote
Description: bacterial SSU rRNA
Rfam family: Archaeal small subunit ribosomal RNA
Source: RNAcentral